AUGGCUGAGCAGCGCAAUGCGGCCAUCAUCACGAGCCCACUGCACGACGACGAUCUCCUCGAGAGGAUCCUGAUCAGCCUCCCGGGGGCGGCGUUCCUCGCCCGCGCCGUGCCCGUCUCCGACCGUUGGUGCCGCGUCAUCUCCGACGAGGGCUUCCUCAAACGCUUCCGCGUCAGCCACCCAUCGUCGCCCCUCGUCGGCGUAUUCGUGGACAACAAAAACGAGCAUGUCCCCCGCUUCCACACCGGCACCGGCACCGCCAACCCCGGCAUCGCCUCCGCGGUGCGCCGCACCGACAUCUGCCUCACCCGCCUCGACGAUGCUCUGCGGUGGCGCCUCCACGACUGCCGCAAUGGCCAGCUCCUCCUCUCCGGAUCCGACGGUUCACUGUGCAUCUAUGACCCGCUCUCCGAGCGGCGUGUGCCCAUCGGCCCGCGCACGCAUCUUGACCACGGCUGGAAGUGCCUCGGCGACUGCUUGCUUGACGGCCUUGCCCGCCAUAUGGUCUCCGUGGAGCAACGCGGCCAACAGACGCAUGCCGAGGAGUCCUUCCGCGUCAUAUCCUUGCAGUGCCAGAGCAACUCCAGAUUCAAUGUACGAGCCAUUGAGUAA
This 612-nucleotide ribosomal RNA is filed under the name Triticum aestivum (bread wheat). RNAcentral's name for it is "partial small subunit ribosomal RNA". The record is from RNAcentral. Lineage: Eukaryota; Viridiplantae; Streptophyta; Magnoliopsida; Poales; Poaceae.